This 485-nucleotide ribosomal RNA is filed under the name uncultured bacterium. Its description in RNAcentral is "partial 16S ribosomal RNA". It matches the Rfam family "Bacterial small subunit ribosomal RNA", at positions 27 to 507 of the family's 1533-position model. The record is from RNAcentral.
GAUUGAACGCUGGCGGCAGGCCUAACACAUGCAAGUCGAGCGGAUGAAGGGAGCUUGCUCCUGGAUUCAGCGGCGGACGGGUGAGUAAUGCCUAGGAAUCUGCCUGGUAGUGGGGGAUAACGUCCGGAAACGGGCGCUAAUACCGCAUACGUCCUGAGGGAGAAAGUGGGGGAUCUUCGGACCUCACGCUAUCAGAUGAGCCUAGGUCGGAUUAGCUAGUUGGUGGGGUAAAGGCCUACCAAGGCGACGAUCCGUAACUGGUCUGAGAGGAUGAUCAGUCACACUGGAACUGAGACACGGUCCAGACUCCUACGGGAGGCAGCAGUGGGGAAUAUUGGACAAUGGGCGAAAGCCUGAUCCAGCCAUGCCGCGUGUGUGAAGAAGGUCUUCGGAUUGUAAAGCACUUUAAGUUGGGGGGAAGGGCAGUAAGUUAAUACCUUGCUGUUUUGACGUUACCAACAGAAUAAGCACCGGCUAACUUCGUG